CGGGACUACAGGCGCCUGUGCAAUCUCUAUGGUAACCACAUUUCCCAGCUGUCUACUACCGGUAAUAAAAUCAAAUGGAUUCAGUGCUCACAACUCUUCAGUCUUCGGGCUACUUUCCAUUCUUGAGUUUUUAGCUGAAUUCAUCUCUUUGGCUGGAUUUUAUGAAUCGGGCAGCCGUUAGAACCAAAACAGUUCUGAGGAACUCCCAGGCUGCAGUGUGGUGUGAAAUGUUUUAUGCACAGAAAAUGGAAAUGAGGUGCAGAAACUGGAGAUGAAAUUUCAGUCUUUAUUCAAGAUCAAGUGCAACUGUCUCUUUGAGGAAAGUCCUUUGACCCCCAUUUCUCCCCUUCAGAAGGCAAGCACCUGGGGGAGAAGAUCUGCUUAAGGACCUCGUAACUGACAAAGAAUGGAAUGGGAGCGAGAACUGCCUAGCCAUCCCUUCUCCUUGCACAGUCAUGAAACAAAGUUGAAAAGGAGCCUGGUUUUACUUGACCAGUCAUAAAUUACCAUAAAAUAAAAUGAGAUACUAGG
This 531-nucleotide long non-coding RNA is filed under the name Pan troglodytes (chimpanzee). RNAcentral's name for it is "long non-coding RNA NONPTRT016636". Lineage: Eukaryota; Metazoa; Chordata; Mammalia; Primates; Hominidae. The record is from RNAcentral.